CGGUUCGAGUCCGCUAACCUCCACUGACCGCCCCUAAGUGCACCCUCUAGUGAGUUCCAUUGCGUGAUGUGAUUUAGAAAUUCAGCUGAUAGAACCUAGCUUCUUAUCAUUCCAAUUCCAAAUAAAAAUACUUAAUUUGGAUUAGGUUGACAGGACGCUGGGCUCAUUGGAAUUUUUUAAUUCCAAGUAUGUUCGGCA
Molecule: unclassified non-coding RNA, 198 nt
Filed under: uncultured cyanobacterium
Lineage: Bacteria; Bacillati; Cyanobacteriota
Description: partial 16S-23S ribosomal RNA intergenic spacer
Source: RNAcentral